This 495-nucleotide ribosomal RNA is filed under the name uncultured bacterium. RNAcentral describes it as "partial 16S ribosomal RNA". It matches the Rfam family "Bacterial small subunit ribosomal RNA", at positions 28 to 507 of the family's 1533-position model. The record is from RNAcentral.
GACGAACGCUGGCGGCGUGCCUAAUACAUGCAAGUAGAACGCUGAAGGAGGAGCUUGCUUCUCUGGAUGAGUUGCGAACGGGUGAGUAACGCGUAGGUAACCUGCCUGGUAGCGGGGGAUAACUAUUGGAAACGAUAGCUAAUACCGCAUAAGAGUAGAUGUUGCAUUACAUUUGCUUAAAAGGUGCAAUUGCAUCACUACCAGAUGGACCUGCGUUGUAUUAGCUAGUUGGUGGGGUAACGGCUCACCAAGGCGACGAUACAUAGCCGACCUGAGAGGGUGAUCGGCCACACUGGGACUGAGACACGGCCCAGACUCCUACGGGAGGCAGCAGUAGGGAAUCUUCGGCAAUGGACGGAAGUCUGACCGAGCAACGCCGCGUGAGUGAAGAAGGUUUUCGGAUCGUAAAGCUCUGUUGUAAGAGAAGAACGAGUGUGAGAGUGGAAAGUUCACACUGUGACGGUAUCUUACCAGAAAGGGACGGCUAACUACGUG